Molecule: ribosomal RNA, 1035 nt
Filed under: Salmonella enterica subsp. enterica
Lineage: Bacteria; Pseudomonadati; Pseudomonadota; Gammaproteobacteria; Enterobacterales; Enterobacteriaceae
Description: partial 23S ribosomal RNA
Rfam family: Bacterial large subunit ribosomal RNA
Source: RNAcentral
GCCAGUGGUGAACUCCACAUACGCAUCCUUUGCUGAGGAUACGGUUAACGGAGCGAAAGCGACGUUCAACCUCAAAAGAAGCAGAGGGGGCUUAGUGGUGGGGUGACUGCGUACCUUUUGUAUAAUGGGUCAGCGACUUAUAUUCUGUAGCAAGGUUAACCGAAUAGGGGAGCCGGAGGGAAACCGAGUCUUAAUUGGGCGUUAAGUUGCAGGGUAUAGACCCGAAACCCGGUGAUCUAGCCAUGGGCAGGUUGAAGGUUGGGUAACACUAACUGGAGGACCGAACCGACUAAUGUUGAAAAAUUAGCGGAUGACCUGUGGCUGGGGGUGAAAGGCCAAUCAAACCGGGAGAUAGCUGGUUCUCCCCGAAAGCUAUUUAGGUAGCGCCUCGUGAAUUCAUCUCCGGGGGUAGAGCACUGUUUCGGCUAGGGGGCCAUCCCGGCUUACCAACCCGAUGCAAACUGCGAAUACCGGAGAAUGUUAUCACGGGAGACACACGGCGGGUGCUAACGUCCGUCGUGAAGAGGGAAACAACCCAGACCGCCAGCUAAGGUCCCAAAGUCAUGGUUAAGUGGGAAACGAUGUGGGAAGGCCCAGACAGCCAGGAUGUUGGCUUAGAAGCAGCCAUCAUUUAAAGAAAGCGUAAUAGCUCACUGGUCGAGUCGGCCUGCGCGGAAGAUGUAACGGGGCUAAACCAUGCACCGAAGCUGCGGCAGCGACACUGUGUGUUGUUGGGUAGGGGAGCGUUCUGUAAGCCUGUGAAGGUGUGUCGUGAGGCAUGCUGGAGGUAUCAGAAGUGCGAAUGCUGACAUAAGUAACGAUAAAGCGGGUGAAAAGCCCGCUCGCCGGAAGACCAAGGGUUCCUGUCCAACGUUAAUCGGGGCAGGGUGAGUCGACCCCUAAGGCGAGGCCGAAAGGCGUAGUCGAUGGGAAACGGGUUAAUAUUCCCGUACUUGGUGUUACUGCGAAGGGGGGACGGAGAAGGCUAUGUUGGCCGGGCGACGGUUGUCCCGGUUUAAGCGUGUAGGUGUGUGU